Molecule: ribosomal RNA, 496 nt
Filed under: uncultured bacterium
Lineage: Bacteria
Description: bacterial SSU rRNA
Rfam family: Bacterial small subunit ribosomal RNA
Source: RNAcentral
UACAUGCAAGUCAACGGCUUUUCUAUGGAAGCUUGCUUCCACUGAGAAGAUAGUGGCAACGGGUGAGUAACACUGGGGUAACCUGCCCAUAAGAGGGGGAUAACAUCCGGAAACGGGUGCUAAUACCGCAUAGUUUUUCUUGAUUGCAUGAUUGAGAAAGGAAAGACGGCCUUUGUGCUGUCGCUUUAUGGAUGGACCCGCGGCGUAUUAGUUAGUUGGUGAGGUAACGGCUCACCAAGACGAUGAUACGUAGCCGACCUGAGACGGGUGAUCGGCCACAUUGGGACUGAGACACGGCCCAAACUCCUACGGGAGGCAGCAGUAGGGAAUCUUCCGCAAUGGACGAAAGUCUGACGGAGCAACGCCGCGUGAGUGAAGAAAAGGUUUUCGGAUCGUAAAACUCUGUUGUCAGAGAAGAACAAGUUGGAGAGUAACUGCUCCAGCCUUGACGGUAUACUGACCAGAAAGCCACGGCUAACUACGUGCCAGCCGCUGC